Cucurbita moschata (crookneck pumpkin) is the source of this 1419-nucleotide long non-coding RNA. RefSeq lists it as uncharacterized. Lineage: Eukaryota; Viridiplantae; Streptophyta; Magnoliopsida; Cucurbitales; Cucurbitaceae. The transcript is spliced from 4 exons. The record is from RefSeq and is a predicted model, not a curated record.
AUGCAAGUAUAAUGUAAUAGUCAUCAUUGAUAGGCCAUUAUUAAGUUUGAUGAAAUAGUCAUCAUUGAUAGGCCAAUUGCGAUUAGAUUCUUGAGUUAAAACAGGGAUGGUUCUUUAAGCUUCAUCAUGUGAUAGUCAUAUGAAAGUUGCCUAAGAUCAAAUGCGAAAGGCACAGCCAAGAAUCAAAGUGGAGGGAUGCUUUUCAAGACUAUUCAUCAUAAUGAUCAUACCCGAAUGGAGAUCAACGACAGCGUGAGUGACGACCCCCAAUAAUUCAUCGGUUGGUGGUUCGACUUUUUCAAUAAUACCACGUAAUCGCUCGAACUGUCUUAUCAGAUGUCUGUUGGUAUGAGGAGUCGAUUUCGCAUGGUCCCGACAUCCUUUGAUAGUAUACUGUUUGUGGUAAUACCCCCUCCUCAAAUUCCAUGAAUCAAGACCAUACCAUAUGCCACAUGACUUGUUCCCAUCAUAUUUUUGCCAUAUUUUUUUGUUUCUUCUCAUUUAUCACUGCUGAAGAUGGAUGGUAGGCCUUUGUUUUGCAGGCUGUUCGAGAUUUCAGCCUAACAUUAUCUUCUUGGCCUAUAAUAAUGUACCUCUGUUGUGUUCAGUCUUCUUGAUUCUUUUCCCUGUUCUUGAUUUUUUUAUUUUUGUUUGUGUUUCUUUGUUGUUUUUUGUGCAGAAUCCACCUGUAAAAACACCACAUCAGAUAGAGGUCAGUUCUGGAACUAUCCAUUCUGAAUCUUUACUCGUUUCUUGCUGCUAUGAGUUCUUUUUCUAGAAUAGGUCGAAGUAAAAGUAGAACGACUGGUUUAGAUAUCUCGAUAUCUUCGAAUCAUUGAAAGUUUUUUUUUUUAAAGUUCUAGAAGAGAGUGGGUGGGGAGCGUACAAGAUCCAAAUUUCUGACUACUCGAUCAAGAAUAUGUUGAAUACAUAUCCUAACCAUAGGUCGAAGUAAAAGUAGAACGACAGAUUUAGACAUCUCGAUAUCUUUGAAUCAUUGAAAGUUUUUUUUUCAAGUUCUAGAAGACGUGGGUAGGGAGUGUGCAGGAUUCAAAUCUCUGACUACUCGAUCGAGAAUAAUCGAGUACAUAUCUUAAGUUGUUGUAGGUUAGUUGACUCAUUGAACUUUGCGAAUGUAUAUGGAUAUACAAAUAGGUUUAUUAGGCAUUUUAAAACGUAGAAUAUAUGUCUUAACCCGUUAUUAAAGUUAGUUGAGUCAUUGAACUUCGGGUAUAUAUGGACUCACGCAGGAUUAUUAGACAUAUUUCGAAGUUUGUGUAUGCAUACAUGCAUGCAUAUGAUACGAACAUCGAGUUACGUACAAGAAUAUGGCAAUUAUUUUGUUUCCUUUUGUCUUGAAAGAUAUAUCCAAAGGCUAUCUAGUUUAAGUUAAGUAACGGUUGUAAUCUUGAUGAUAAA